CGAUGCUGCCUUUCUUGGACGUUUCCUCCCUAAACUCGGGCGACACCUUCGGGCGCCGCCCUUCUUUUUGCCCGCG
Molecule: small RNA, 76 nt
Filed under: Roseomonas mucosa
Lineage: Bacteria; Pseudomonadati; Pseudomonadota; Alphaproteobacteria; Acetobacterales; Roseomonadaceae
Description: Makes More Granules Regulator RNA (mmgR)
Rfam family: Makes More Granules Regulator RNA (mmgR)
About the family: SuhB later renamed mmgR (makes more granules regulator) was a putative non-coding RNA found multiple times in the Agrobacterium tumefaciens genome and related alpha-proteobacteria. Other non-coding RNAs uncovered in the same analysis include: speF, ybhL, metA, and serC.
Source: Rfam by way of RNAcentral